RNAcentral lists this long non-coding RNA (523 nucleotides) under Numida meleagris (helmeted guineafowl). Its description in RNAcentral is "lncRNA (ENSNMEG00000008920.1)". The record is from RNAcentral. Lineage: Eukaryota; Metazoa; Chordata; Aves; Galliformes; Numididae.
CUGUAGGAUGACUGGACUGGAGGACUCUUCUGUGCAAGAAGAUGGCACCCCUAAAGAAAGGCCUUACUUCCUUUAGUUCUGGUACUGGGUCCGCAUCUGUGAUGGCUUUCUGAGCAUGACAUUUGGCCUUUGCAGUGAUGGCAAGAUGUCAGCUGUGCUGCCCCUCAUUCUCUACACUUAAGGAGUAGAAGAGCUCUGCAGAGUGCAUCAUUCAAGCUUGUUUGGCAGAGUCUCUGGAUUCUAAGAGGAAGGAUCUGCUGGCCUGAAAAUCUUCCACUGCAGGCUUGCCAAACCUUGCUAAGCUGCAUGUGGCAGCAGCAAGAUUGCAAUCAUACCCCAGCGGCUGGCACGUGGUCCUUCCCGAGGAGAAGGAAGAAGCGCUCAGUUUGACUACAUAUUACGAAACAAGAGGCACUGUAUUCUCCAGAAGGCAAUCCUGGCUUAGUCAUUAAAGGUACGAUGAACCAUUGAAGCAAAGAGAGCAAAGAAAAAUCUUCACUGUUUUUAUCUCCUGCCACCCUCA